Molecule: ribosomal RNA, 497 nt
Filed under: uncultured bacterium
Lineage: Bacteria
Description: partial 16S ribosomal RNA
Rfam family: Bacterial small subunit ribosomal RNA
Source: RNAcentral
GAUGAACGCUGGCGGCGUGCCUAAUACAUGCAAGUCGAGCGAACGGACGAGAAGCUUGCUUCUCUGAUGUUAGCGGCGGACGGGUGAGUAACACGUGGAUAACCUACCUAUAAGACUGGGAUAACUUCGGGAAACCGGAGCUAAUACCGGAUAAUAUUUUGAACCGCAUGGUUCAAAAGUGAAAGACGGUCUUGCUGUCACUUAUAGAUGGAUCCGCGCUGCAUUAGCUAGUUGGUAAGGUAACGGCUUACCAAGGCAACGAUGCAUAGCCGACCUGAGAGGGUGAUCGGCCACACUGGAACGGAGACACGGUCCAGACUCCUACGGGAGGCAGCAGUAGGGAAUCUUCCGCAAUGGGCGAAAGCCUGACGGAGCAACGCCGCGUGAGUGAUGAAGGUCUUCGGAUCGUAAAACUCUGUUAUUAGGGAAGAACAUAUGUGUAAGUAACUGUGCACAUCGUGACGGUACCUAAUCAGAAAGCCACGGCUAACUACGUG